CCUACGGGUGACAGCAGUGAGGAAUAUUGGUCAAUGGACGAGAGUCUGAACCAGCCAAGUAGCGUGAAGGAUGACUGCCCUAUGGGUUGUAAACUUCUUUUAUAUGGGAAUAAAACGUUCCACGUGUGGGAUUUUGUAUGUACCAUAUGAAUAAGGAUCGGCUAACUCCGUGCCAGCAGCCGCGGUAAUACGGAGGAUCCGAGCGUUAUCCGGAUUUAUUGGGUUUAAAGGGAGCGUAGGUGGAUUGUUAAGUCAGUUGUGAAAGUUUGCGGCUCAACCGUAAAAUUGCAGUUGAAACUGGCAGUCUUGAGUACAGUAGAGGUGGGCGGAAUUCGUGGUGUAGCGGUGAAAUGCUUAGAUAUCACGAAGAACUCCGAUUGCGAAGGCAGUUCACUGGACUGCAACUGACACUGAGGCUCGAAAGUGUGGGUAUCAAACAGGAUUAGAUACCCCUGUAGUG
This 460-nucleotide ribosomal RNA is filed under the name uncultured bacterium. Its description in RNAcentral is "partial 16S ribosomal RNA". It matches the Rfam family "Bacterial small subunit ribosomal RNA", at positions 338 to 795 of the family's 1533-position model. The record is from RNAcentral.